Long non-coding RNA from Apis mellifera (honey bee), 1206 nucleotides. RefSeq lists it as uncharacterized. NCBI's taxonomy places the organism in Eukaryota, Metazoa, Arthropoda, Insecta, Hymenoptera, Apidae. The transcript is spliced from 2 exons. The record is from RefSeq and is a predicted model, not a curated record.
GCCUGCGAGGUGGAGCGAAACUGGCGAGGAAACGUAGUCGUGUCGGUGUCCUGAGAUCGACUCUCCACUCGGUUACGCGACGCGCUUCUGGCCUGGCGGCGCGGGGCUCAUGGAGGGGGAGAAGAUUCUCCAAACGAUUUACAUCUUUAUAUGGGUUUGUCCACGCCGAACGGAACGAUCGAUCUGCCACCUUUCGCUAGGAAAGGUUUCGUGAUGUAGAUACGUUUGCGCUCGAAAAAAGACGCACGAAGCGAGAACAGGAUAUCCAGUUCGAUGGACUCGAAGAGCAUCCACCGGAAAUGUAACUCGAUCACGAGGAUGUUUCUCGGGUUUACGCGCUCGCCAAUCCAAUGAGCUUUACUUUCGAUCGCCUCGAGUUCGAAUUUGCUCGAGCCAUAAAUUUCGUGCAUGGUACGAAAUAAAAGUUCUGAAUAAAAGAAAGGGAGAAAAAAAGGAGGAGAAACGGGACUGGGGGGACCAUUUCGUCCGAGUGAGUCACUGUUAAAAACGCCGCGAGUCUCUCUCUCUCUCCGCUUUUCUCGACUGUCAUGCCCUGUUGAGAGGAAUACGAUAACCACGUCGCGUCAUUCCGUCUCCAGCUGCGCUUGCCACCGUUUCACGAUCCCCUGCCGUUGUAGAAUCCCUUUUUCUAUUAUUGUAACUCAUUCCGUUCUUCACUCCUGCCAUCUAUUGCUCUCUUUCUUUAUUUAUUCAACAUUGUUUUCGUUUUCGAGAGAUUGCAAUUCUUUGACGUGAUACAAUAUAUAUAUACAUAUAUAUAUGUAAUAUUAGCUACAUGUAUGCCUGUAUCGAUUGAAAAAAACGGUAAAUAUUAUCUUCUCUUCGUUUCUGUAACCUGAUAUAUCCUCCAUAACCUCGCACGAAAUAAACGCAUUCGCAAAUACUAAUGCGACAAUGCGUGUUUUAAAUCGAAAAAAUUUCUUUCGCAUUAAGGAUAGCGUAUAUACUUCGUAAUUGGUACACACUGUCUCGAGUUAAGUCAAAUUCAUGGAGCGAGACACCGACCGCGCCGGUUCGUAUAGCCGGACGAUGAGUCAUAUGAGGUCGUUGUCUGCUACUUACAAUUAGUCCAAGAAAAUCUACCAUCACGAUAAUGUAUAUUUCCUCGUCCAUUCGUUCAACUCGUGAUUUUAACUUUUUCAAUUGUUUCCUGUUUUUCGAAUAAAAAAUCACUUUUAAAAAUAU